RNAcentral lists this ribosomal RNA (765 nucleotides) under uncultured Streptococcus sp. RNAcentral's name for it is "bacterial SSU rRNA". It matches the Rfam family "Bacterial small subunit ribosomal RNA", at positions 28 to 776 of the family's 1533-position model. The record is from RNAcentral. Lineage: Bacteria; Bacillati; Bacillota; Bacilli; Lactobacillales; Streptococcaceae.
GAUGAACGCUGGCGGCGUGCCUAAUACAUGCAAGUAGAACGCUGAAGGAAGGAGCUUGCUCUUUCCGGAUGAGUUGCGAACGGGUGAGUAACGCGUAGGUAACCUGCCUGGUAGCGGGGGAUAACUAUUGGAAACGAUAGCUAAUACCGCAUAACAGUAGAUGUUGCAUGACAACUAUUUGAAAGGGGCAAUUGCUCCACUACCAGAUGGACCUGCGUUGUAUUAGCUAGUUGGUGAGGUAACGGCUCACCAAGGCGACGAUACAUAGCCGACCUGAGAGGGUGAUCGGCCACACUGGGACUGAGACACGGCCCAGACUCCUACGGGAGGCAGCAGUAGGGAAUCUUCGGCAAUGGACGGAAGUCUGACCGAGCAACGCCGCGUGAGUGAAGAAGGUUUUCGGAUCGUAAAGCUCUGUUGUAAGAGAAGAACGAGUGUGAGAGUGGAAAGUUCACACUGUGACGGUAUCUUACCAGAAAGGGACGGCUAACUACGUGCCAGCAGCCGCGGUAAUACGUAGGUCCCGAGCGUUAUCCGGAUUUAUUGGGCGUAAAGCGAGCGCAGGCGGUUAGAUAAGUCUGAAGUUAAAGGCUGUGGCUUAACCAUAGUACGCUUUGGAAACUGUUUAACUUGAGUGCAGAAGGGGAGAGUGGAAUUCCAUGUGUAGCGGUGAAAUGCGUAGAUAUAUGGAGGAACACCGGUGGCGAAAGCGGCUCUCUGGUCUGUAACUGACGCUGAGGCUCGAAAGCGUGGGGAGCAAACAGG